RNAcentral lists this transfer RNA (71 nucleotides) under Streptomyces sp. NBRC 14336. Its description in RNAcentral is "tRNA-Thr". Lineage: Bacteria; Bacillati; Actinomycetota; Actinomycetes; Kitasatosporales; Streptomycetaceae. The record is from RNAcentral.
GUCGCCGGGGGAGCGGUCAGGCAUGGGCCUUCGUACGGCCCCGGCCCCGGUUGCGGCGCCGGGCGGCGGCC